AUGAACGCUGGCGGCGUGCCUAAUACAUGCAAGUCGAGCGAACAGACGAGGAGCUUGCUCCUCUGACGUUAGCGGCGGACGGGUGAGUAACACGUGGAUAACCUACCUAUAAGACUGGGAUAACUUCGGGAAACCGGAGCUAAUACCGGAUAAUAUAUUGAACCGCAUGGUUCAAUAGUGAAAGACGGUUUUGCUGUCACUUAUAGAUGGAUCCGCGCCGCAUUAGCUAGUUGGUAAGGUAACGGCUUACCAAGGCAACGAUGCGUAGCCGACCUGAGAGGGUGAUCGGCCACACUGGAACUGAGACACGGUCCAGACUCCUACGGGAGGCAGCAGUAGGGAAUCUGCCGCAAUGGGCGAAAGCUUGACGGAGCAACGCCGCGUGAGUGAUGAAGGUCUUCGGAUCGUAAAACUCUGUUAUUAGGGAAGAACAAAUGUGUAAGUAACUAUGCACGUCUGGACGGUACCUAAUCAGAAAGCCACGGCUAACUACGU
RNAcentral lists this ribosomal RNA (495 nucleotides) under uncultured bacterium. RNAcentral describes it as "partial 16S ribosomal RNA". It matches the Rfam family "Bacterial small subunit ribosomal RNA", at positions 29 to 506 of the family's 1533-position model. The record is from RNAcentral.